This 445-nucleotide ribosomal RNA is filed under the name uncultured bacterium. RNAcentral describes it as "SSU rRNA". It matches the Rfam family "Bacterial small subunit ribosomal RNA", at positions 26 to 518 of the family's 1533-position model. The record is from RNAcentral.
AGAGCGAACGCUGGCGGCAGGCCUAACACAUGCAAGUCGAGCGCCCGUAGCAAUACGGGAGCGGCAGACGGGAUAGUAACACGUGGGAACGCGCCCUUCGGUUCGGAAUAACUCAGGGAAACUUGAGCUAAUACCGGAUACGCCCUUACGGGGAAAGAUUUAUUGCCGAAGGAACGGCCCGCGUCCGAUUAGCUAGUUGGUGAGGUAAUGGCUCACCAAGGCGACGAUCGGUAGCUGGUCUGAGAGGAUGACCAGCAUCACUGGGACUGAGACACGGCCCAGACUCCUACGGGAGGCAGCAGUGGGGAAUAUGGAUAAUGGGCGCAAGCCUGAUCCAGCCAUGCCGCGUGGAUGAUGAAGGCCUUAGGGUUGUAAAGUCCUUUUAACGGGAAGAUAAUGACGGUACCGUAGAAUAAGCCCCGGCUAACUUCGUGCCAGCAGCCGC